This 378-nucleotide ribosomal RNA is filed under the name uncultured bacterium. Its description in RNAcentral is "bacterial SSU rRNA". It matches the Rfam family "Bacterial small subunit ribosomal RNA", at positions 521 to 896 of the family's 1533-position model. The record is from RNAcentral.
UAAUACGUAGGGCGCAAGCGUUGUCCGGAAUUAUUGGGCGUAAAGAGCUCGUAGGCGGUCUGUCGCGUCUGGUGUGAAAUCCCAUGGCUCAACUGUGGGCUUGCAUCGGGUACGGGCAGACUAGAGUGCUGUAGGGGAGACUGGAAUUCCUGGUGUAGCGGUGGAAUGCGCAGAUAUCAGGAGGAACACCGAUGGCGAAGGCAGGUCUCUGGGCAGUUACUGACGCUGAGGAGCGAAAGCAUGGGGAGCGAACAGGAUUAGAUACCCUGGUAGUCCAUGCCGUAAACGUUGGGCACUAGGUGUGGGGCGGGUUCCACUCGUUCUGUGCCGCAGCUAACGCAUUAAGUGCCCCGCCUGGGGAGUACGGCCGCAAGGCUA